This 30-nucleotide non-coding RNA is filed under the name Oryctolagus cuniculus (rabbit). The record is from RNAcentral. Lineage: Eukaryota; Metazoa; Chordata; Mammalia; Lagomorpha; Leporidae. RNAcentral also lists the same sequence under 1 other name.
UGACAUAGAAGGACUACUGAGCCACCCUGC